UCAAUUUCAUCAUGUUCGGAAACAACACAUGCAGCGGCGACGCUCCAUUUUCUCUCUCAGUCGUGUUCUCUGUCGUCUCAACCUCGCGUCCAUUACAAACCCGACGGCCGAAGAACUCAUACGAGUUCUCUUCUCCGACGAACUCUCGGUCUCAAUAUCUUCUUCUCCUCUUUUCGAUUUCUAAUUCGUUGUUUGUUGGUUUGAUGAUGAUGGUGAUACGGAAUCGGUGAUUUGUGUUGUUGUAUUGUGUGUUUCUGUCCAAGCUUGAUUCGGUGAAAGUGCAAUGAUGAUGAUGGGUUUAGAUCUGUGUAUUUGUUCAUCUCCACGACUGUUUUUAUAAAUCAAAUUAUUUCAUCCCUUUUCUCUGCUAUAUAUUGAAUCAAAUUAAGGCUACAUCAUAUAGGAUUUCAUCUCAGUAGCCAGAAAGGAUUUAGACUUGAUCGGGUUUUACCGCUGACUUUUGAAUCUAACAGGAGGAUGAAGUGAAAGAAAGAGCAAAAAGAGAUGCAGCUGCUAGCAAAUGAAGGGAAUACUCAUGGAAAGGAUUGUGUAUGAAGUGAUGGCUUCUUAUUGUAUUGGAAGAGAAUUUUAAUUGUGACAUGGAUAAGCAGUGACUUGGUUCUGAAAUUGCAUAUGUGCUAUUACUGUUUUGGGUUGUAUAAUUAUGCAGUAUCGAAGAUACACUAUUGAGGAAAUAGAAGAAGCGACAAAAUACUUUUCCAACUCACUGAAGUUGGUGAAGUAUGUUAUGGACCAGUCUAUAGGGCUGAAUUAGUUCUCACUGCAUUUGCAAUAAAAGUGUUGCAACCCUGUGCAGCUCAAGGAUGGUUGCAAUUUCAACCAAGAUUGAAGUUGUGAUAAGCAUAAGGCAUCUAAACAUGGUUCUUCUAUUUGAAGCGUGUCCGGGGUUCGGUUGCUUACCGUAUGAGCACAUGAGUAAUGGAAUGUUGACGUGCUAUCUAGAUUUAGACAUUAGCAUAUAGGGCAAUAUAAAUUCUUUUUCAGGGUUUUCAUGUGUUCCAUAUAAAUAUUUGAAACACUAUAUUUCUAGGUGGAUGCAGAAAGUGUGUACUGAACUUUUAUGUUUGUUGCAUUUUAAUAAUGAUUAAAGCUGAGAAAAUAAUUUAGCAGCAAAGUUGAGUCAACAAUUGCAGCAAUGCGAGGGCUUUCGGCUACUACAGCUAGCAAUCAACCACAACUUACUACUUUGUUUUAACUGGCUGCUCAUGAAGCUAAAAAAUCAAGUACUCAGGGUUGCAUUUAACAGUGAUUUUAUUCUACUGCAGAUCGAUAGGGUGCCCACAACAUCAGUGGCCCGUGAACCAGAGGCUUUUCACUAUGGAUAUCAUGUACUAUAGGUAAUGUUGUAGAUAUUGGAAACACAUUGGGCUAGAUGCAUUGGAUUUAUCAAAGCCAUUGAACUGCCACUUUUGCCGCCGCUGAAAAAGUCAGUUGAACGGAAAGUAGUGCUUGGAAACAAUUGGACCUGGUUGUUGCAACUGGUGGUGAUGGAACUCUUCCGCUGGCCCGCCAUUUAAUGGAUGGCAAAAUUCCUGUCCUUUGAUUGAACUCAGAUCCUACUUGGAUUGAUGAGGUUUAUCAUAUACAUGUAGUAUUUGUUUAAAUAUUGAUAUAUUGGCUUCUGAAUUUAGACAUUUUGUUUGAAUUAAUGAAUUUAUAUCUUAUUUGUAAUAGGUGGAAAAAUUAAGUGGUGAGUUUUGAUGCUUCUAGAAGUACCGGUCAUCUUUCUGCUGCAACUAUUGAAAACUUCGAACCAAUAUUCUUUCAGUUUUGAUUCCAUGGAGUAGCUAAAACUAUUUAUGUUUUAUGAUGCUUUAG
Molecule: long non-coding RNA, 1839 nt
Organism: Vicia villosa (hairy vetch)
Lineage: Eukaryota; Viridiplantae; Streptophyta; Magnoliopsida; Fabales; Fabaceae
Exons: 8
Source: RefSeq, a predicted model, not a curated record